Molecule: ribosomal RNA, 253 nt
Filed under: uncultured bacterium
Lineage: Bacteria
Description: partial 16S ribosomal RNA
Rfam family: Bacterial small subunit ribosomal RNA
Source: RNAcentral
UACGAAGGGGGCUAGCGUUGCUCGGAUUGACUGGGCGUAAAGGGCGCGUAGGCGGUUUGUACAGUCAGGCGUGAAAUUCCUGGGCUCAACCUGGGGGCUGCGUUUGAUACGUGCAGACUUGAGUUCGGAAGAGGGUCGUGGAAUUCCCAGUGUAGAGGUGAAAUUCGUAGAUAUUGGGAAGAACACCGGUGGCGAAGGCGGCGACCUGGUCCGAUACUGACGCUGAGGCGCGAAAGCUAGGGGAGCAAACGGG